RNAcentral lists this transfer RNA (73 nucleotides) under Euaesthetus ruficapillus. Its description in RNAcentral is "tRNA-Asp". Lineage: Eukaryota; Metazoa; Arthropoda; Insecta; Coleoptera; Staphylinidae. The record is from RNAcentral.
AAAAAUUUAGUUAAAAUCCAUAACAUUAGCUUGUCAUGCUAAAAUUAUUUUUAAAAAACUAUAAUAAUUUUUA